This 696-nucleotide ribosomal RNA is filed under the name Triticum aestivum (bread wheat). RNAcentral describes it as "partial small subunit ribosomal RNA". Lineage: Eukaryota; Viridiplantae; Streptophyta; Magnoliopsida; Poales; Poaceae. The record is from RNAcentral.
AUGUUGCUUUGGUUGCAGGCGUCUCACCAUAAUGCUCCACUGCCCAACCUUUUCGUCUCGUAUGCUUUGGCCCAUAAGGCACCGUACAGAACAGCCACGCCUUAUGAUGAGAAUGACACAGCGUCCGCGUACUCCAGCAAGACCGCCUACGAUCGGAUGGAGAAAUUUAAAGGGGUGGCAAAAGAGUUGAAAGGGCCCGAGUAUGAUGUGACAACAGAGCCUCUUGACCACGCUUUGGUCAUGACCUCUGGAGAAGGCAGGAAACAUGGCAAGGAAGCAAUUGCAGGAGGCAUGUUCCCUAGCUCCUCCCAUAGCUCUCUCCCUGAAUACAAAGCUCGGUUACGUAUCUCAAAAUCUUCUACAUAUAAACGCUCAACUCCAGCUAUGGCUGAGAUGGAGGCCCGACUGGCGGAGGAGAGGCGAGUGGCGGCAGAGGAGAGGGCGGAGGAGAGGCGAGUGGCGGCGGAGGAGAGGGCGGAGGAGAGGCGACUGGCUGAUGAGAGGAUGCAGCAAGCGGUGCAGCAGGCGGUGUUGGCACAAACUAGUCAACGCUUUGCAAUGUUUGCGGCUUAUUGUACCCAAAAUGGUAUGCCCGCUAUGCAGAUGCCUCAAUCAGGCCAUGGAUCUAAUGCUGAUGGAUCUUCACAUGCACGAGGCCCAAGCGACAACAACCUUGGUGGUUCUCCGAAUGUUUGA